GUUUUUAGAGAGAAAUUCGACAAUACCAAGGGACUCACAAUCCCUNGGUCGCAGGUUCGAGUCCUGCUAAGCCCACCA
RNAcentral lists this transfer RNA (78 nucleotides) under Gammaproteobacteria bacterium. RNAcentral describes it as "tRNA-Val". It matches the Rfam family "tRNA". From Rfam's summary of the family: Transfer RNA (tRNA) molecules are approximately 80 nucleotides in length. Their secondary structure includes four short double-helical elements and three loops (D, anti-codon, and T loops). The record is from RNAcentral. RNAcentral also lists the same sequence under 1 other name. Lineage: Bacteria; Pseudomonadati; Pseudomonadota; Gammaproteobacteria.